This 328-nucleotide long non-coding RNA is filed under the name Physcomitrium patens. Its description in RNAcentral is "long non-coding RNA (PPAT_LNC008999)". Lineage: Eukaryota; Viridiplantae; Streptophyta; Bryopsida; Funariales; Funariaceae. The record is from RNAcentral.
GACGUUACAGAGAACCCCGUACAACCCAAACUGUUAACCUUCAAUACUGCUUUGUACUUAGGAUCUUGUAUCCACUGACUGUCUUGUUAGAUUAACCCAAUAAAUUUCAUUCACUCCGCAUACUCAAUCCUAUAGACACCCUUUUAAUCCUUCAAUCACAGACGUAACUCGAUUUCACAAAACAGUCAAGAGUAUUCAAACCCACUUCAUUUAAAAAUCCUGAUUCACCAUUACAACACUGACUUCAGCAGCGAUUGCCUCAAUCUUCCCCAAAACUCUACGAAGAAGAAAAAUCCAAAUUCUAUGUCUUUCCUUCCCCGACCCGAAG